RNAcentral lists this ribosomal RNA (253 nucleotides) under uncultured bacterium. RNAcentral's name for it is "partial 16S ribosomal RNA". It matches the Rfam family "Bacterial small subunit ribosomal RNA", at positions 524 to 776 of the family's 1533-position model. The record is from RNAcentral.
UACGGGGGGGGCAAGCGUUGUUCGGAAUUACUGGGCGUAAAGGGCUCGUAGGUGGCCAACUAAGUCACACGUGAAAUCCCUCGGCUUAACUGGGGAACUGCGUCUGAUACUGGAUGGCUUGAGUUUGGGAGAGGGAUGCGGAAUUCCAGGUGUAGCGGUGAAAUGCGUAGAUAUCUGGAGGAACACCGGUGGCGAAGGCGGCAUCCUGGACCAACACUGACACUGAGGAGCGAAAGCCAGGGGAGCAAACGGG